AAGUAUUUUAUACAAGUUUUUAAUUUUGUUAAUUUUUGAGUGUAGUGCUGCCAGAUCGAGAGAGCGCUUAAAAAGCCAGCGCUGCCAGAUGCUACAAAUGUGUGCUUGCUGUCGCAGUGUACACGAGCCAGCUAGCAACUCUGUGUAAGAUGCCAGCGCUGCCAGACUUUGAUAAUAUAUACUGUUGUUGUUUCUAUUCAAAAAGCCGGCAUAUUCGUGUGUUAUGUAUGCAGCUGCUGUUCCACAGCUGCUCAGAUGUCCGGGGGCAUCCAGGCGAGCCGGCAAACGCCUGAUCAGCUAUGUGCUGGGCAUCGAAACAUCCUGCGAUGACACUGGCAUUGCCAUUGUCGAUACAACUGGUCGAGUGCACGCCAAUGUGCUUGAGUCCCAGCAGCAGUUCCACACACGUUACGGUGGCAUCAUACCGCCACGUGCUCAGGAUCUGCAUCGGGCGCGCAUUGAAAACGCCUACGAGCGUUGCCUGGAGCAGGCGCAACUGCAGCCGGAGCAAUUGGAGGCGAUUGCGGUGACGACACGGCCGGGACUGCCGUUGAGCUUAAUUGUGGGCCUGCGUUUCGCACGGCAUCUGGCACGCCGGGAACAUAAACCCCUGCUGCCCGUGCAUCACAUGGAGGCACACGCACUGCAGGUGCGCAUGGAGCAGCUGACAGAGAUUGGCUACCCAUAUCUGUGCCUGCUCAUCAGCGGCGGCCACUGUCAGCUGGCCCUGGUGCAGGGUCCCGGCCGUCUGACGCUGCUCGGCGAAACGCUGGACGAUGCGCCCGGCGAGGCGUUCGAUAAGAUAGCGCGACGCCUGCGGCUCUAUGUGCUGCCCCAGUAUCGGCUGUGGAACGGCGGUCGUGCCGUCGAGCAUGCUGCACAAACGGCACGCCAACCGGCUGCCUAUGAGUUCCCGCUGCCGUUGUCAAGGCAGCGCGACUGCAACUUUAGCUUUGCGGGCAUCAAGAACAACUCGUUUCGUGCCAUACGCAAACAGGAGCUGGCCGAGCGCACGCCGCCCGAUGGCAUCAUCAGCAACUACAAUGACUUCUGUGCGGGUCUGCUGCGUGCGGUCAGUCGCCAUUUGAUGCAACGCACACAACGCGCCCUCGAGUACUGUCUGCAGCAGGGCUUAUUUGGCGCCGCGCCACCCACCCUGGUCAUCUCGGGCGGCGUGGCCAACAACGAUGUGAUCUUUGCGAAUCUGGCCCAUUUGGCGGCGCAAUACAAUUGCCGCGCUUUUCGACCCUCGAAGCGCUACUGUUCCGACAAUGGCGUCAUGAUAGCCUGGCACGGCAUCGAGCAACUGCUGCAGGAUGGACAGAAUAGCCUGCGCCGGGACAUCGAUUGCAUUGAUAUUGCAGGCAGCGCUGGCUUUCAGCACACGGCGGUCAGCGAUGUGGCGCUGGCGGGCAUCAAAUGCAAGUGGAUCAAACCGCUUUAGGCCAGCAGCACGACAAUAUCAACAAGCUCUGAUCCGAGCCGUAGCUAAAUCUAGAUCAUCUGAAUGAAUGAUAGUCGGCUCUAUUAAGGAUUAAGGAUUUGACAAACCCAAGCAGGAGCAUUGGCUCGAGCCGCAAAGCACAGCAAUCUGGAUGGAACAUAGACAGACUUGGUUGUAGAUACUGUUCCAGAAUAUAUAUAUAUACAUAGUUUAGGCAAGAUCGGAGCUAUCUAUCUUUAAGCUGGAGUCGUGUCGUGUCUGGGUAUAAAAUUGCCAACUGUUGCUUAAGGAUUUUGGAUUCAAGCCUUAAAACUGAGCAAGGAUACAGAUCAAGAAUAUAUAUAUAUACAUAGUUUAGGCGGGAUCGGAGCUAUCUAUCUUUAUGCUAGAGUCGUGUCGUACCCAACUGUUGCCUUAGCCCAAAGUUGAUUUCGUUUGGUUAUUGCUUUUUUUUACAUUAUAUUUGUUUUUUUUUUCUUUUUCUUUUUUAUUAUAUUAUCUGAAAUCAAUAAUGUCAAAUGUCUAAGGUCUAAAAAAAAAAAAAUGUAAAAAUUGAUAAUGUAUACAUAUAAAAAUAUGAAAAAAUGCAUUAGUUCUUCAACUGCGUCUGCUGCUACGCUUUGUUUGUUUUUUUUGUUUUUGUUUUUAUGCUGAACUACAAUACAAUUCUCUUUUGUCUGGAUAUUAUACUUAUAAGGUUUUCGAUUUUCUCAAAUUUUCUCAAUUCGUUUUUUUUUUGCAACCCUUACUUAUAUAUUUCAAUACUCUUACUUUUAUUACAUAAUAGCGUUACAUACAAUUACGCAUAUUUCUUUUAUUAUAAUUUUAAGUUUUAGUUUUUCUUUCCUUGUUUUUUUUUUAGUUAAUUUUGUGUACCGUUAUUAUUGCGUGUGUAAACAAAUGGUAGACAUAUGCACGUAUUUUAUUUAUUUAUUUUGCAUUUGUGUUUAUUUAAUAUAUUUCCUGGCUGCUCGCGCUUCUUUUUCUAUUGCCGUGAGCAGUUGCUUUUUCUCCUAUAUUUAUGCAAAACACAAAAUUGCAUAGUUCUCAGUUUUGUUCUGGUUUGUUUUUGCUUCGAUUCCUUCUUCUCCUUACUUUUGUAUAUAUAUAUAUAUAUAUGAAUAU
Drosophila novamexicana is the source of this 2569-nucleotide RNA transcript. It is a transcript of the gene named probable tRNA N6-adenosine threonylcarbamoyltransferase, mitochondrial, with no coding region annotated. The record is from RefSeq and is a predicted model, not a curated record. Lineage: Eukaryota; Metazoa; Arthropoda; Insecta; Diptera; Drosophilidae. The transcript is spliced from 3 exons.